ACCCUAAAAUCUAUAAGAGAAUCAACAAACAAGACCCAAUGUUCCCUCUCGGCACGUAGAAAAGAGUUUUAUCGAUGAUCGGACAAUGAAAACCCUAAACGAUUGGAAAGUAAAACGAAAAUUGAAAAGAGAGGCAUAGAGAACAGAAAUUUACCCCAAUUCAAAGACCUACUUGAGCGAAAAAGUGAUAAGAAGUGGAAGAAGGCGUCGGCGACGAAGACGACGAAGAAGUUCUGAACUGCUCGAUGUGUGGGAUCGUUUAUAUAGAAACCCAUAGAAAAUAAUUGUAGCCGUUGGAAGGUGAGGCAACGACCUCUUUGUAGGAGAAAAGUAGCCGUUGGAACGGUGAGGCACUGACGUGUUUUCGUUUGACGGUGCGGCAGUUACGCGGCGGAUGAUUAAAUGCAGGGACAUCUAGCGCCAGCUGGAGAAAGGUAAUCCUGCUAAUUCAUCAUUUCCGCGACAGCUGGAAAUAAAACCCAAUACAUCGGCGUUUCUGUCAUCACUUUCUGUUUGUUGACUCUCACUCACUUCUCCACACUUGGAUAAAAUUCUGAUUGGCUUCAUGAAACCUUAAUCAGAUAGAAAAAAUAAAGGUCAAAUACUUAAAUUGUCCUACAAAUUUGAAAUUAGUUAUCAAACAAUUUUGUAACUUUUA
Molecule: long non-coding RNA, 658 nt
Filed under: Linum usitatissimum (flax)
Lineage: Eukaryota; Viridiplantae; Streptophyta; Magnoliopsida; Malpighiales; Linaceae
Description: long non-coding RNA (LUSI_LNC005341)
Source: RNAcentral